Molecule: long non-coding RNA, 2225 nt
Organism: Cyanistes caeruleus (blue tit)
Lineage: Eukaryota; Metazoa; Chordata; Aves; Passeriformes; Paridae
Source: Ensembl
CUGCUGUGCACAAAACCGGAGUGGGACACACUCUGUCCGGGGCAGCAGCUCCAGAGAACCCCUCUGUGUGCAGAGAUUCGUGCUCAUCCUCCCCCAGCCAUCACUCAGGGAGGAUUGAUGGGGCAGUGGCCUUGCCUGGCUGCUCACAGUGGAGAAAAGCUGUCCUGGCAGCAGAGGUAACCAGAGGGAAAUCGCUCCUCCUGAGGUGCUGCAGGACAGCUCUGUAAACAGAGUCACCCUGGGAAGAAUUACUGCCAUCCUGCUGGAAUCUCAGCAGUAUCUGGAUAAACAGCUUGAGAAAUGCUGAUCAGAAAAGAGCUGGGACUCCCUGGUGUUUCCACCAGCCCUCUGCAGCUCCUCUCCCGACUUCUGACUCUGCAUUUUCACCCUGUUGCUCCAGCAGGCAGCUGGGUGACAUCUAAACAUCUCAAGUGGGCUAAGCUGCUCUGAUCCCUGCAUUUCUCCUCCUGCUUCCUCCUCUUGAAGGAAGCCUGUGAAUUUUUGGUGGCUGAUGACUCAGUGUCACUUUAUGGCUGCCUCUGGACAGGAAAAGCCUUUGCAGACACUGAAAAGUGAGCACCACUGAAUUCCUGGCUGGAUGCCACUGCUCUGCUCCUGAAGAUGAGAACAGGAGCAUUUACUCCAUGAAAUAUUUGCUGGUUUUCCUAAUUCAACAAAGUGACAACUCAUUUUAAACUUCUUGUGCCAUCCACAUGGCCUCUGAGGCAUUUUCCUGCCAUCAGUGCUCUGAUGUAGGGGAGCACAGGGUCCCUGACAAUAAAGGAUUUAUCUUUGGGACCAUGGUGUGACCAGCAGGUUUUCCAGAGUGACAGAGGAGUUAUGGGGAACAUUUCCAGCCUGGUCCUGGAUGUGGUUCCACAUGUGCCACCCCAGCAGGUACAACAGAGCUCUCCUGGAGUUUCUUUGACAGAGGCAUUCCAGAUAUCCAAACCUCCAGAUUUAAUACCCUGGCUCUACCUCACAGCCACCCAGGAGCUGGGGAGACUCCACAGGAAGAAUUUUUAUUGUGUUUUCCCAAGGAGUAGCUCUAAGAAAUGCAAUCAGUGGGGUCAACAGACUAUUUCAGCUGCUUCUGCCAUAUUCCUCCAGGGAUUUGAGAAGAAUGGCUGGAUUUAUGGAAUCAUGCUCAGGUUAUAUCUAACCCAUUUGUUUACUCCUCUUUCAAUACAGAUGAGAUGGAUCAAAUCUCUGGAGAAUGAAGUCUGUUUACCUGCAGAACAGAGGGGUUCAGCAGCAAGGCUGCUUCAGAUUGCCCUGCAGACACCAGCCUGGAAAGGCACUUUUAGGGCCCAGGCUCCAGUGGCAGCCCCAGACAUUUGCACUGAAUUUGGAAGUUUUGUGUGCCAGAAGCUGCAGAUAACACCAGAGCUGAGCUGCUGCUGAUUAGAGGUAAUUAUAGAUUGGCCUGCUAAUUUCUAGAGCAAUUUUUAAGCUUUCACAGAAGAAGGAAUGGAAUCAUUUCUUGUCUUAGCAAAUGACAGCUAUUUGUAUGCAACUCUGUUAAGGACAGCUUUGCAUCCAAAUUAGUGCCUGGAGCAGAGCCAGAGCUCUGAGGCAAUCAGUGGGGAUGGCAGGAUGCUGGCUGAGGGCACAAGUGACAAAUGUCUCCUUUUUCCACCUUACCCAGCAGUUUAAACACAGAGAAUUGGAGCUGUCUUACUCUUCCAACCAACACAGGCACGGAAAUCGCUGUGCCCCUGACUCAGCAGAGGAGGGGAAUUGCCUUCUGCAACUGCCCCACGCCAAGCACUGAGCCUGGACAUCAAAAUUAAUCUUUUACAGGCACUUCUGGAAGUGAAACCUGUUGGCCAAGAGCGUGCAGGGCCUUGUCACCACAAGGGUGACUCGGCACAGGGACAGUGUGGCAAAAAGGAAGCGAUGGAGAAGCAGUGACAGGACUGUCAGGUGGCCACUUGUGCUGGUCACACCACAUUUAUGACAAAAUGAAGCUCCUGGUGUGCUAAUCUUAGUGGCCUGAUUUGUUCUGGAAUUGGAUACAGAGUCCUUGUUAAUGAAGAACCAUCGUGGAAGAAGCUGAAUUAACUCCAUGAAAUAUUUGCUGGUUUUCCUAAUUCAACAAAGUGACAACUCAUUUUAAACUCCUUGUGCCAUCCACAUGGCCUCUGAGGCAUUUUCCUGCAAUCAGUGCUCUGAUGUAGGGGAGCACAGGGUCCCUCAUAAUAAAGGAUUUCCCUCUGGGACCA